Molecule: unclassified non-coding RNA, 346 nt
Filed under: soil metagenome
Description: partial contains 5.8S ribosomal RNA, internal transcribed spacer 2, and large subunit ribosomal RNA
Rfam family: 5.8S ribosomal RNA (bases 1-120)
Source: RNAcentral
GAUGAAGAACGUAGCAAAAUGCGAUAAGUAAUGUGAAUUGCAGAAUUCAGUGAAUCAUCGAAUCUAUGAACGCACAUUGCGCCCGCCAGUAUUCUGGCGGGCAUGCCUGUUCGAGCGUCAUUUCAACCCUCAAGCCCUCGGGUUUGGUGUUGGGGAUCGGCGAGCCUUUCUGGCAAGCCGGCCCCGAAAUCUAGUGGCGGUCUCGCUGCAGCCUCCAUUGCGUAGUAGUAAAACCCUCGCAACUGGAACGCGGCGCGGCCAAGCCGUUAAACCCCCAACUUCUGAAUGUUGACCUCGGAUCAGGUAGGAAUACCCGCUGAACUUAAGCAUAUCAAUAAGCGGAGGA